RNAcentral lists this ribosomal RNA (482 nucleotides) under uncultured bacterium. Its description in RNAcentral is "bacterial SSU rRNA". It matches the Rfam family "Bacterial small subunit ribosomal RNA", at positions 29 to 506 of the family's 1533-position model. The record is from RNAcentral.
AUGAACGCUGGCGGCGUGGAUAAGGCAUGCAAGUCGAGGGGGUGCAUCACAUUGGGUACAAUGUAAAUUAAAAUUUUACAUAGCACUUAGCGUGAUGCAUCACCGGCGAACGAGGUAGUAACACGUAGGAACGAACCUAGAAGUCAGGAAUAAUCCAUCGAAAGAUGGACUAAUACUUGAUAGUCCCGUAAGGGUAAAGACUUAUCGCUUCUAGAUCGGCCUGCGAAGUAUCAGCUAGUUGGUAAGGUAAUGGCUUACCAAGGCUAUGACGCUUAGAGGAGCUGAGAGGCUGACCCUCACCGAUGGUACUGCGACACGGACCAUACACCUACGGGUGGCUGCAGUCGAGAAUCUUCCACAAUGGACGAAAGUCUGAUGGAGCGACGCCGCGUGACUGAUGAAGUUCUUCGGGAUGUAAAGGUCUUUUAUGAGGGAUGAAGUUUAUUGACAGUACCUCAUGAAUAAGGGGUGGCCAAACUCGU